GACGAACGCUGGCGGCGUGCUUAACACAUGCAAGUCGAACGGAAAGGCCCUGCUUUUGUGGGGUGCUCGAGUGGCGAACGGGUGAGUAACACGUGAGUAACCUGCCCUUGACCUUGGGAUAACUUCAGGAAACUGGGGCUAAUACCGGAUAGGAGCUCCUGCUGCAUGGUGGGGGUUGGAAAGUUUCGGCGGUUGGGGAUGGACUCGCGGCUUACCAGCUUGUUGGUGGGGUAGUGGCUUACCAAGGCUUUGACGGGUAGCCGGCCUGAGAGGGUGACCGGCCACAUUGGGACUGAGAUACGGCCCAGACUCCUACGGGAGGCAGCAGUGGGGAAUAUUGCACAAUGGGUGGAAGCCUGAUGCAGCAACGCCGCGUGCGGGAUGACGGCCUUCGGGUUGUAAACCGCUUUCGCCUGUGACGAAGCGUGAGUGACGGUAAUGGGUAAAGAAGCACCGGCUAACUACGUG
This 468-nucleotide ribosomal RNA is filed under the name uncultured bacterium. Its description in RNAcentral is "partial 16S ribosomal RNA". It matches the Rfam family "Bacterial small subunit ribosomal RNA", at positions 28 to 507 of the family's 1533-position model. The record is from RNAcentral.